Molecule: unclassified non-coding RNA, 336 nt
Filed under: soil metagenome
Description: partial contains 5.8S ribosomal RNA, internal transcribed spacer 2, and large subunit ribosomal RNA
Rfam family: 5.8S ribosomal RNA (bases 1-120)
Source: RNAcentral
GAUGAAGAACGCAGCGAAAUGCGAUAAGUAGUGUGAAUUGCAGAAUUCAGUGAAUCAUCGAAUCUUUGAACGCACAUUGCGCCCCAUGGUAUUCCAUGGGGCAUGCCUGUUCGAGCGUCAUUUGUACCUUCAAGCUCUGCUUGGUGUUGGGUGUUUGUCUCGCCUCUGCGUGUAGACUCGCCUCAAAACAAUUGGCAGCCGGCGUAUUGAUUUCGGAGCGCAGUACAUCUCGCGCUUUGCACUCAUAACGACGACGUCCAAAAGUACAUUUUUACACUCUUGACCUCGGAUCAGGUAGGGAUACCCGCUGAACUUAAGCAUAUCAUAAGCGGAGGA